RNAcentral lists this ribosomal RNA (497 nucleotides) under uncultured bacterium. RNAcentral's name for it is "partial 16S ribosomal RNA". It matches the Rfam family "Bacterial small subunit ribosomal RNA", at positions 28 to 507 of the family's 1533-position model. The record is from RNAcentral.
GAUGAACGCUGGCGGCGUGCCUAAUACAUGCAAGUCGAGCGAACAGACGAGGAGCUUGCUCCUUUGACGUUAGCGGCGGACGGGUGAGUAACACGUGGAUAACCUACCUAUAAGACUGGGAUAACUUCGGGAAACCGGAGCUAAUACCGGAUAACAUGUUGAACCGCAUGGUUCAACAGUGAAAGACGGUCUUGCUGUCACUUAUAGAUGGAUCCGCGCCGCAUUAGCUAGUUGGUAAGGUAACGGCUUACCAAGGCAACGAUGCGUAGCCGACCUGAGAGGAUGAUCGGACACACUGGAACUGAGACACGGUCCAGACUCCUACGGGAGGCAGCAGUAGGGAAUCUUCCGCAAUGGGCGAAAGCCUGACGGAGCAACGCCGCGUGAGUGAAGAAGGUCUUCGGAUCGUAAAACUCUGUUAUUAGGGAAGAACAAAUGUGUAAGUAACUAUGCACGUCUUGACGGUACCUAAUCAGAAAGCCACGGCUAACUACGUG